CGCUAGCUCCUUAAGAGAGUUCGCUCUAGACCUAAAAAAUUUAGAUUUCCCCCAAGCUAGAAAACAUUCACUCCUGAACUCUCGUGGCGCCCUCUCAACUCUCAAAUCUUCCUAAUCUUCCUCAUCUCUCUCCCUUCCUGAACUCUUGCCCUCGACCAGACCUCCAAGAGAGACUCCUCCGUCGAAAUCGAUAACCCAACUUCGUCGUCACAUAUCUCUCUUCCCUUGGUAGCCUUUCGUUGCUGGUACAAGACCUAGCGGUUUCGAUUUGAAAUCCUGAAACGACGGCGUUAUAUAAGCGACUACAGAGAAAAGUCACAGCACAAGGUAACAGUGGUUGUUUCAAACCUGGCGGCUGCCGCUGUAGUUUGAAGCAUCAAGCUUUUCAAUCUACCUUGCAAUUCAAAUGUCGUCGGCAUCGUAGUGGCAGUGGGAGACCUCCAUUGUCGGCGCCGUCGUUGGGUUUGCCACCAAUGCGGCGAUGCAUCCCCUGGUUGCUGUAUGAGAUUUCAAUUCCACGAUGGUCGAGUCUCCAAUCUUCCAACUUACACGAACACGGCUCAUGCCAUUUAUGCAAUUUCAUUUGUUUUUUUUUAUUCCGAUUUCACUUCUGGGUCUUAGAUUUAUUUUGAUUUACGAAUUUUUGAAGUUUUCGUUUAUUUUCCUAUUAAUGACUUAGUUUUUCUGUGCAAUAAAGUUUCACAUUGGCUUGGAUUGUUUUGAAGCGACUUGGGAACAGGGAAGGCAUUGCAAGAGAGGGAAAAAGCUGCCGAACAAAGAAUGAGAUUUUGGGAAAGAUACAUGAGAAGGGGCAUUGGACUAUAGCGAUUGAAGAGAGGAAGAAAGGCUUUGUUAUAUGUUGGGCACAGAAUAAGAAAGGAAAGAGAAAGGGUUAAUAUUAGGAACCAUGUAAUUCAGGUAUCAUCUAUGGAUGUGGUAGAAUUUGUGAGCAAUCACAUGUAGUUCCAUUGUUUCUAAUUCUAUGUAAUAAAAUUGAAUCUUCAACUUUUAUGAAAGAAAUAAUUUUUGAGUA
Long non-coding RNA from Prunus avium (sweet cherry), 1033 nucleotides. RefSeq lists it as uncharacterized. Lineage: Eukaryota; Viridiplantae; Streptophyta; Magnoliopsida; Rosales; Rosaceae. The record is from RefSeq and is a predicted model, not a curated record.